This 146-nucleotide small RNA is filed under the name Phyllobacterium endophyticum. RNAcentral describes it as "Alphaproteobacterial sRNA BjrC1505". It matches the Rfam family "Alphaproteobacterial sRNA BjrC1505". The record is from Rfam by way of RNAcentral. Lineage: Bacteria; Pseudomonadati; Pseudomonadota; Alphaproteobacteria; Hyphomicrobiales; Phyllobacteriaceae.
UCUGUUUCCGUUAACCAAUGGUUAAGCAUUACAAUCUAUGAAUUGAUCAUCCAGUUUUCUGGAUUCUUACCAAGUGGUUUGGCCACUUUGUUUGACGCCUCCCUGUUAGACUCCUGAGAGCCGCCUCGUUUCGCGGCUCUUUUUUU